CAAUAGCAUAUAUUAACGUUGUUGCAGUUGAAAAGCUCGUAGUUGAACUUUUGGUAGGAGCGACCUGGCCUUGGGCGCAUGCCCUUGUUUGCCGUGUGUCGUAUCUGGCCAUCCUUUUCUUCGUUUUUCGGAGGAAUCUUUUACUGUGAGUAAACUGGAGUGCUCAAAACAAGACGUUUGUUUGGUACAUUAAAGCAUGGAAUAAUAAGAUAGGACCUGGUUACUAUUUUGUUGGUUUGCAUAGCUAGGUAAUGAUUAACAGGGACAGUUGGGGGUAUUCGUAUUUAAUUGUCAGAGGUGAAAUUCUUGGAUUUAUGAAAGACGAACGACUGCGAAAGCAUUUACCAAGGAUGUUUNCAUUA
Molecule: ribosomal RNA, 362 nt
Filed under: uncultured eukaryote
Lineage: Eukaryota
Description: partial 18S ribosomal RNA
Rfam family: Eukaryotic small subunit ribosomal RNA
Source: RNAcentral